RNAcentral lists this ribosomal RNA (852 nucleotides) under uncultured Acidobacteriota bacterium. RNAcentral's name for it is "bacterial SSU rRNA". It matches the Rfam family "Bacterial small subunit ribosomal RNA", at positions 58 to 890 of the family's 1533-position model. Lineage: Bacteria; Pseudomonadati; Acidobacteriota. The record is from RNAcentral.
CAAGUCGAACGCGAAAGGGGCUUCGGCCCUGAGUAGAGUGGCGAACGGGUGAGUAACGCGUGGGUGACCUACCUUCGAGUGGGGGAUAACGUCCCGAAAGGGACGCUAAUACCGCAUGACAUCCUGCCCUUGAAUGGGUGGAGAUCAAAGCCGGGGAUCGCAAGACCUGGCGCUUGGAGAGGGGCCCGCGUCCGAUUAGCUAGUUGGUGGGGUAAUGGCUCACCAAGGCAACGAUCGGUAGCCGGCCUGAGAGGGCGGACGGCCACACUGGGACUGAGACACGGCCCAGACUCCUACGGGAGGCAGCAGUGGGGAAUUGUUCACAAUGGGCGCAAGCCUGAUGACGCAACGCCGCGUGGAGGAUGAAGGUCUUCGGAUUGUAAACUCCUGUUGCUCGGGAAGAAAAGCUCCGACCUAACACGUCGGAGUCUGACGGUACCGGGUGAGGAAGCCCCGGCUAACUCUGUGCCAGCAGCCGCGGUAAUACAGAGGGGGCAAGCGUUGUUCGGAAUUACUGGGCGUAAAGGGCGCGUAGGCGGCCUGUUAAGUCGAACGUGAAAUCCCCGGGCUCAACCCGGGAACUGCGUCCGAUACCGGCAGGCUUGAAUUCGGGAGAGGGAUGUGGAAUUCCAGGUGUAGCGGUGAAAUGCGUAGAUAUCUGGAGGAACACCGGUGGCGAAGGCGGCAUCCUGGACCGAUAUUGACGCUGAUGCGCGAAAGCCAGGGGAGCAAACGGGAUUAGAUACCCCGGUAGUCCUGGCCCUAAACGAUGAAUGCUUGGUGUGGCGGGUAUCGAUCCCUGCCGUGCCGAAGCUAACGCGUUAAGCAUUCCGCCUGGGGAGUACGGUCGCA